GGUUUAUUUGCCAUUGUCUAGAUAUAGCAGACCAAAACUUGUUGCCGGUUCAGCAGAAGGGUAUGCGGGCCAUGUUGAUGGGAGACUACGGGAAGCAAGGAUGAACCAUCCGAAGGGAUUUACGAUGGAUGAUAGAGGAAAUAUUUAUGUCGCAGACACCAUGAACAUGGCAAUCAGGAAAAUCAGUGACACUGGGGUUACAACUAUCGCCGGGGGA
RNAcentral lists this unclassified non-coding RNA (217 nucleotides) under Hevea brasiliensis (rubber tree). The record is from RNAcentral. Lineage: Eukaryota; Viridiplantae; Streptophyta; Magnoliopsida; Malpighiales; Euphorbiaceae.